AUAAUAAUUGGGAAAUGUUUUUUAUAUUCCAGGUACUACCAAAUCUUCAAUCUUCACAACAACUUCAUGACUUAAAUAUCUUUAUUCUUAUUUUACACAAGGGGAAAUUGAGGCAUUGAAAUAUUGAAAGUGGGUAAGGCAGAUGGUCAGCAUCAGUAGUUAGGCUUAGAUUCAACUGCCAGUAACAAGAUAAGCCAAAAUAACUGAGACUUGAAUAUGAUAAAAGCUUUCUCUUUGUUGAAAAGAUCUUGAGGCAAUCAGUCUAAAACUAAAUUGGCCCUACAUGAAGUCAGGGACAUGGCCUCUUCUAUGUUGUUGAUAUAUCAUUUCUGAGCCUAACUCAUUAACCAAGGUGGUUGCUGAUGUUCCAGCCAAUUUUCAAUACCUGUGACAUUCAGAAAAAUUAAGAGGACAAGAAAGGUAUGACUGUUUUCUUUCAGUUAAUGUCUCUGGACCAGAAUUUACACAGAGCACUUUGGCAUAUAUCUUUAGAACUCUAUUUGCUUGCUUAUGUCUAGGUCCAAAGAAGGCUCUGAAACAUUUAUAUUUAUAAAGUUUAGAAUUUGGGGAAAUUAAAUAUUAGGAAAGUCUCUUACCUUGAUUUUUCAGAUUAUAUUGGAUGAAAAGUAAACAGAGAGUAGUUAAGUUAUGAACUAUGACAGGGAAAAGAAGUGAAGCCAAGAAAGGAAGGAAAGGGAGGAUUGAAAUAUAAUGACUUGAAGAAAUUGAAGAGGAGGUACUGGCAGCAUGAAGGAGGAAGAGACAUAGCUCCUUGAGAUGGGGACUGUGUGAGAAGGAGAUACAGGAGUUGAAGAUUCAGGAGGUGGAGAAGUCCCAGCAAUGGUGGAAAGAAUACCUCCAAUAUUUUGCUGAUAUUAGUUAGAUGAAGAUACUUAGGGGCCAGGUUGUUAAAAUUUCAAAUGACUAGACCAAAAAUGCCUUAAUGAUUGUUAAGUGUGUAUAACAUGGUAGUGUUAACAAAAAUUUAGAAAACUGCUUCUUAUUACUGGGAUAAUGGUAAUAUACUAUUUCCUUUUGGACAAAUAAAUUAGAGUUUCUAUUUGCUAUACUCAGAUGACAUUUUGUUCAAAGUUGCAUGCCUUUCAAAUAAUGUUUCAGAUAACUGAAUCUCUUCAUUCAGUGCAAACUAUUUCAAUGGAAUGGUUUCUAAAAUGUGUUAAAAUUGCUUUCUUAAAAUAACACCCAUAUUUUAUGAUUGACAUUCAUUGUUAAAUAAAACUGUGGAUUGUUGUCCUACACUGAAAUAAAAUAUCUCAGCU
This 1280-nucleotide long non-coding RNA is filed under the name Marmota monax (woodchuck). Lineage: Eukaryota; Metazoa; Chordata; Mammalia; Rodentia; Sciuridae. The record is from RNAcentral.